This 253-nucleotide ribosomal RNA is filed under the name uncultured bacterium. RNAcentral describes it as "partial 16S ribosomal RNA". It matches the Rfam family "Bacterial small subunit ribosomal RNA", at positions 524 to 776 of the family's 1533-position model. The record is from RNAcentral.
UACGUAGGGGGCAAGCGUUAUCCGGAAUUACUGGGUGUAAAGGGCGUGUAGGCGGAGCAACAAGUCAGAAGUGAAAUCUCUGGGCUUAACCCAGAAACUGCUUUUGAAACUGCUGCCCUUGAGUAUCGGAGAGGCAGGCGGAAUUCCUAGUGUAGCGGUGAAAUGCGUAGAUAUUAGGAAGAACACCAGUGGCGAAGGCGGCCUGCUGGACGACAACUGACGCUGAGGCGCGAAAGCGUGGGGAGCAAACAGG